UUCUGGUUGAUCCUGCCGGAGGUCACUGCUAUUGGGAUCCGACUAAGCCAUGCGAGUCGAGAGGGUUCGGCCCUCGGCAGACGGCUCAGUAACACGUGGAUAAUCUGCCCUUAGGUGGAGGAUAACCUCGGGAAACUGAGAAUAAUACCCCAUAGAUCUUGGAUGCUGGAAUGCACUUAGAUUGAAAGUUCCGACGCCUAAGGAUGAGUCUGCGGACUAUCAGGUAGUAGUCAGGGUAAAGGCCUGACUAGCCUACGACGGAUACGGGUUGUGAGAGCAAUAACCCGGAGACGAUAUCUGAGACACGAUAUCGGGCCCUACGGGGCGCAGCAGGCGCGAAACCUUCACAAUGUGCGAAAGCACGAUGAGGGGAUCCCAAGUGCUUGCUCGUAAGAGUAAG
Molecule: ribosomal RNA, 400 nt
Filed under: uncultured archaeon
Lineage: Archaea
Description: bacterial SSU rRNA
Rfam family: Archaeal small subunit ribosomal RNA
Source: RNAcentral